This 491-nucleotide ribosomal RNA is filed under the name uncultured bacterium. Its description in RNAcentral is "partial 16S ribosomal RNA". It matches the Rfam family "Bacterial small subunit ribosomal RNA", at positions 29 to 507 of the family's 1533-position model. The record is from RNAcentral.
AGUGAACGCUGGCGGUAGGCCUAACACAUGCAAGUCGAACGGCAGCACAGUAAGAGCUUGCUCUUACGGGUGGCGAGUGGCGGACGGGGAGGAAUACAUCGGAAUCUACUUUUUCGUGGGGGAUAACGUAGGGAAACUUACGCUAAUACCGCAUACGACCUACGGGUGAAAGCAGGGGAUCUUCGGACCUUGCGCGAUUGAAUGAGCCGAUGUCGGAUUAGCUAGUUGGCGGGGUAAAGGCCCACCAAGGCGACGAUCCGUAGCUGGUCUGAGAGGAUGAUCAGCCACACUGGAACUGAGACACGGUCCAGACUCCUACGGGAGGCAGCAGUGGGGAAUAUUGGACAAUGGGCGCAAGCCUGAUCCAGCCAUACCGCGUGGGUGAAGAAGGCCUUCGGGUUGUAAAGCCCUUUUGUUGGGAAAGAAAAGCAGCAGGUUAAUACCCCGCUGUUCUGACGGUACCCAAAGAAUAAGCACCGGCUAACUUCGUG